Molecule: long non-coding RNA, 4512 nt
Filed under: Salmo salar (Atlantic salmon)
Lineage: Eukaryota; Metazoa; Chordata; Actinopteri; Salmoniformes; Salmonidae
Description: lncRNA (ENSSSAG00000089210.1)
Rfam family: UnaL2 LINE 3' element (bases 4376-4429)
Source: RNAcentral
CUAAGACCGAAUCACAGCCAUGCUGAUGUUCAGCACUCCCCCGUGUGAUAUUACUUAACUGACAUACGUUCCUCACAUUAUCUAGCUACAUUAGGGAGGACUAUAAAUAAAAAGUCAAAGAUGGUCCAAAUCUUUGAGUCAACUAACAAAACCAUGAAUGAAGAUGGAAUGGAUGACACAUAUCCUGGCAUGGAUCAUAUAUCAAACGCAGAAUUGAAAGCUGCUAAUAUCAGUGCAGACAUGCUUCCCAGUCUCAAUAAGGAGGAUUUACGUGAUCUCUUUCCCGGACCAGAGCACUUCUUCAGAAGGAGAACCAUUUGGCGACUUAAUCAUGGUGAAAAUUAGGGUUAAGAAUCAGACCUGUGUAGACCAGUCACCUCCUCUGGGACCUAUGAUUUCAGCCCCACUCCCACCCCCUUUCCCUCCUCCUCCUCCACCCCCUUCCACUCUCUACUGCCCCCCCAUCCCCCCACCCCUCUCCAAACCCAAGAGACCAACAUGGUGCCACCAGAACUGUACAGCUUGUCAGCCCACAGUAUGUCAUAUACACAGACACAGAGUUGGAGCAAUCAAGAAUAACCUUUUUUGAAAAACAGCGUGCUGGACAAGGAGACUAUAUCCUUUCCAAAGAUCUUCGCUGUUGAUUAAUCAGGAAUACAGUAACAAGCAUGAUUUCCAUUGAGAGAGCGGCAGGGGAUGACUUCCAGUAUCCAUGCAGCCGUGAACUCAUUGUAAUGGUGAAGCGUCUCAUAGACUACUACCCAAUGCUGCGGGACAGAUCUGCAACCAGUGGAGCUGAGUGGGUCACUUCUCAGUAUUGGGUAGUAGUCACUUCUCAGGUAUUCAACACAUGUUUCCAAACACAGCACUGUUGGAUACCUGGCAACCAAAGUGCAAACAUCUGACACUCAAAAUAGCAGGGAUGUGCUUCAUCCAGAUCAAUCAGGGAAACAUGUGUCUGCUUGUAUCGUUUCAUUUCUGUGGAAUAUGUUUAUGAUGUACAGGAUCAGGGCAGCAAAUACAUACUCCUCUGGAUCCAGGGCAUACUUCUGCCUGCCCAUUACCAGCUGGCAGUCAAUCACCAGGAGGGAAAAGGUGAUGGAGGAAAGAAAGGGUUUAGGGUGCAAUAGAUGGAGGUAUUCAUUCUGGCUACAAGGCUGCAUAAACAGAAAGAACCUAAUAAAAGGAGAUAUAACAUUGAGUGAGUUCUAUAUCAGUGAGAAGGGCAGGGCUCCCAGAGAUCCAUAGACUAUCUGCAGCACAUUGGAGUAGUAGAAACAGCAGAAGAAGCUGAACAUGAGAAGGUCCACUGCCCCAGCACCAGCAGGAUGCCAUUACAACGCGUGAAGUCCACGCUUUGUAAUGUCUGCAGACCAAAGAGAGGAGUGAGUAACUUUUAUUUCUGAAUUCCAAAGCGACCCUGGGCAAUAUGGUAUUUGUUGUCCAAUAAGCUAGGUCACCGGGGGGUCAGCCUGACCACAAACUGAUGUGGUAUGGUCGAUUUGGAAUUAAGCAUAAUAUCAUGUUUUUAGUGAUUUGAAAAAAACAGUCUGACCUGGGCUGAGAAGAUGAUGAUGGUGAAGGAGAUGACCACUGUUGCUCCCAUGGCGAUGACUACAGCAGUGGUGUCGGGGAAUGAGGCCACAGUGCUGACCAUGUAGGAAAGGCUGAGAGCGACCACUGACUAGAGGCAGUAUGCACACCAUAACACUUAAAAUACCACUCACUCAAUCCCAAAUCUCACUUUAUCCUAUCAUUGUGUUCAAGUAGUGAUAGAAUCAAAGCAAGAUCAAAGACGGUUGUUCUCAUUAGUCAUGCAACUAAGUUCUAGGAGAAUGUAUUUGGCAUUAGCCAAUAGGGAACUGUGAAUACAGUAAGGUACACUUAUAAGCAUCACCGGUAACUUCACUUUUUAAAUAAUGUGUAUGAACACAUCUAAAAAAAAACUAUUGUAUAGUUUAUAUCUAUAAGUGAACAGAUAAACCUAGAGCUCAAUUAAGUCUAACCCACACUUCAGUAUUACUUAGUGACUUUGCAUGGGCCAGUUUGUCAGUCGCUGGUCUAGCUAGUUGUGAUGGGGUUGUGUUUAUGUGUUUGUGCGUGCGUGUGACCCACCAGGUUCCAGGGAUGGCUACUGCUAAAUGAGCUGCAGCAGAUGAGGCAGAUGGCCACUGAAGUAAACAGGAUGGAGGAGCUGAGGUAAAUCAAAUGUUAUUUGUCACGUGUCGUAAACAACUGGUGUGAACUUAACAGUACAAUGCUUACUUACGGGUCCUUCCCAACAAUGCAGAGAUAGAACAUGGAGAAAUAAUAGAAAAAUUGUCCAUAUGUUGCUCUGCAUCGCUGCCCCCACCAUACCGGAGAAAGUGUACACACACAAUGCUGAAGGUCACCAGCAACUGCAGGGUCACAACACUGAACACUUGCACAGGUAGAAAGACAGGGUUACCAUUAGCCCCUUGGGAGGUAUACUUGGGAGGUUACCAAGAAACUUAGGGCUCCAAGACCAAAUCUCUCAAACAUAUCAGUAUAAACCUUUCUGAUAUAAGGCUUCCAUAUUGUCUCGUCAUCAAAAGAUGACACCAAUAGGAUGGCAUCUGUCACUCUCUGGUGGAGAGGAUCCUUUGUGAGUGACAGAACAACAGUCUCAUAUUAUUGGCCAUGACAACACUGGAAUAUUGUAGUGACUUUGCAGACUUUUCAGUGGUCAUGUAACCCAACAAGUGAAUUCAACGGACAUACAUUAUUCCAGCAGAAAUGUUAAAUUUUGCAUUAACAUUUUAUUGUAAUUGGCAGUAAUGAGGAAAGACAUUAAUAAUCCACCAGCAUGACAGUUUCCCCUCUUUCCUUGCUAUUGCAGAACAGGAUAGUUACCUGGCUCUGCCACAUGGUUACACUCUCCAGGUGGGAGGGGUUCGAAGUCCACCCAUGCCUGUAGUGGGUACAGGACUGGGGGGUAGAGUAGGGCAUUCUGAGCCUCUGUGGGCGUGGGGUAGUUCUGUGCAUCUGUCAUUCUGAGCGAGAGCGUAGUGUGAAGAGGAGUGGGUUGGAAGAGACUGAUGUUUGGAGGAAAAUAUAGAGGGCUUAGAUGAUAUCAAAAGGCCUGUGAGAAAAGAGAUGUGAGAUACUAGCCUGGGGGUUUCCACUGUCCACAUGAGGAACCUGGAAUUGAGUAAACCUUCAUAAAGAAAUGUAACAGUUACAUGUCAGAACAAUGAUGCAACAAUAACAUCCUUGCAUUUAUGACCAAAUCAGCAUAAUGUGUAUGUUAAUAUUACCAAGGAAUGUUUUGUAUUAGUGUUCUCACUGAGACGUUGUUUUGUCUAUAGAUGUGUGUGAACGCAGAUAUUUCUCAGUAACUACAGUUCUCAAUAACAGGAAUCAGUAGGUCAAACCACUGGGAUAAACUGAAUUCAAAAAUGUAAAUAUCUUUCCUUCUAAAAUAAAAUAUUAUAAUUUGCAUUUUAUCUUUUACAAAUGACAACUGGAAAACUAACCCCAAAAAGAUUAAAUCCCUUAUUUUACUACAGCAUUCAUACACAAUUAGAUCAUAUGUUUGUGUUGUCCAAUUUAUUUAAUUAUUUUGUCCAAACUGGCACAUCAUCUGCUACCAACAGGAGAUUUUUGACAACCCCAAAAUGAUGUCAUCUUAGUUCUGUCAUUGAAGUAGUGGACCAAUUGGGAGAUGACUAACUGAGCACUUACCUUCUUUAUACCUGGGUUUCACUUGUGCUGAACCUCAAUUACCGCACUGUACUUCCUGUGAGGUUGAGUGAUGAUCUAGCGGCUAGCCUACACACAGACUGCUUUGCUGUUUGACUCAGACUGAGAAACUGGAACUUCUACCUUCACCUUUAGCAGCCUGUGCCCUUUUGGGUUAUUUCCAGAACUGAAAUGUCACUGACAGUGAUGGUGAACUAAGGCCUUGUUCACCCUGCAGGCCUUAAUGCUCAAAUCAAUGUAGUUUUUCAAAUCCAUUUUGGACUACCGACUGUCCAAACAGCAAGUUACAAGUGACCAAAUAGAAUUUGUGUGUAUUCAGACAGCAUUCAUUUGUUGACAAGGCUACGCUUGUUGUCAUAAUAACGAUGAGUGUGUGCGCAGUAGGGUAGGCUGACUGGUGGUGGUGCUCAGGGUUCCUAUCGCUCAGAAGUUAUGUAGCAAGCUAAGGUGACAACAAUACAUGCCAUGGACGUUCCCCAGUUGCUUUGAAUGCUCAAAAUCAUAGGGUAAGAACACAUUUAAAGCCUCAAAGCCUUCCCUGUAGCUCAGUUGGUAGAGCAUGGUGUUUGCAACACCAGGGUUGUGGGUUCGAUUCCCACGGGGGGCCAGCACAGAAAAAAAAAAAAAAAUGUAUGAAAUUGUAUGAAAUGUAUGCAUUCACCACUGUAAGUCGCUCUGGAUAAGAGCGUCUGCUAAAUUACUAAAAUGUAAAUGUAAAUGUAAGAUGAUCCAACUUUCAAAACAAGUCCUUUUAGGCUAGUCACAGCAGCCAACUAGCGAGCUAGCCAC